GACGAACGCUGGCGGCGUGCUUAACACAUGCAAGUCGAACGCGUGGCGCACGGGUGAGUAAUACGUGAGUAACCUUCCCUCUUUUUGGGAUAAGCCUUGGCAACGGGGUCUAAUACCGGCAUAAGGGGGUUGGGCUCGGGGCCUUUCAGCUUGUUGGUGGGGUGAGGGGCUCCCAAGGCGGUGACGGGUAGCCGGCCUGAGAGGGUGACAGGCAACAUUGGGACGGAGCAACGGCCCAGACUCCUACGGGAGGCAGAAGUGGGGGAUAGGGCACAAUGGGCGAAAGCGUGAUGCAGCGAGGACGCGUGGGGGAUGAAGGCUUUCAGGUUGUAAACGUCUGUAGCUAUCGAGCGGGUAGGUGGAGAAGAAGCGCCGGCUAACUACGUGCCAGCAGCCGCGGUAAUUC
RNAcentral lists this ribosomal RNA (406 nucleotides) under uncultured bacterium. RNAcentral describes it as "partial 16S ribosomal RNA". It matches the Rfam family "Bacterial small subunit ribosomal RNA", at positions 28 to 526 of the family's 1533-position model. The record is from RNAcentral.